UGGGGAAUAUUGCGCAAUGGGGGGAACCCUGACGCAGCCAUGCCGCGUGAAUGAAGAAGGCCUUAGGGUUGUAAAGUUCUUUCGGUAUUGAGGAAGGUUGAUGUGUUAAUAGCACAUCAAAUUGACGUUAAAUACAGAAGAAGCACCGGCUAACUCCGUGCCAGCAGCCGCGGUAAUACGGAGGGUGCGAGCGUUAAUCGGAAUAACUGGGCGUAAAGGGCACGCAGGCGGUUAUUUAAGUGAGGUGUGAAAGCCCCGGGCUUAACCCGGGAAUUGCAUUUCAGACUGGGUAACUAGAGUACUUUAGGGAGGGGUAGAAUUCCACGUGUAGCGGUGAAAUGCGUAGAGAUGUGGAGGAAUACCGAAGGCGAAGGCAGCCCCUUGGGAAUGUACUGACGCUCAUGUGCGAAAGCGUGGGGAGCAAACAGGAUUAGAUACCCUGGUAGUCCACGCUGUAAACGCUGUCGAUUUGGGGGUUGGCGUUUAACUCUGGCGCCCGUAGCUAACGUGAUAAAUCGACCGCCUGGGGAGUACGGCCGCAAGGUUA
RNAcentral lists this ribosomal RNA (547 nucleotides) under uncultured bacterium. RNAcentral's name for it is "bacterial SSU rRNA". It matches the Rfam family "Bacterial small subunit ribosomal RNA", at positions 355 to 896 of the family's 1533-position model. The record is from RNAcentral.